This 253-nucleotide ribosomal RNA is filed under the name uncultured bacterium. Its description in RNAcentral is "partial 16S ribosomal RNA". It matches the Rfam family "Bacterial small subunit ribosomal RNA", at positions 524 to 776 of the family's 1533-position model. The record is from RNAcentral.
CACGUAGGGGCCAAGCGUUGUCCGGAUUUAUUGGGCGUAAAGCGCGCGUAGGUGGCCCCAUAAGUCCGCUGUGAAAGUCAAAGGCUCAACCUUUGAAAGCCGGUGGAUACUGUGGGACUAGAGUACGGAAGAGGCGAGUGGAAUUCCUGGUGUAGCGGUGGAAUGCGUAGAUAUCAUGAGGAAUACCAGAGGCGAAGGCGGCUACCUGGACAAUUGCUGACGCUCAGGCACGAAAGCGUGGGGAGCAAAAGGG